Corvus hawaiiensis (hawaiian crow) is the source of this 610-nucleotide long non-coding RNA. RefSeq lists it as uncharacterized. The transcript has 2 exons. The record is from RefSeq and is a predicted model, not a curated record. Lineage: Eukaryota; Metazoa; Chordata; Aves; Passeriformes; Corvidae.
CUCGGGGACCUCCUGGAUCCUCCCGGGUCCCGCUGGUGGUGGGUGCUCGGUGACACCGGGGGGGGGAGGGCGUGUCCAGGGUGCGUCCAGGGGGUGUCCAGGUGGGUCCAGGUAGGUCCAGGGUGGGUCCAGGUGGGUCCAGGUGGGUGCAGGCCGUGUCCAGGCGUCCCCAGGUGUGUCUGGACAUGUCCAGCUCUGUCCACUUGUGUCCAGGGUAGUCCUGGGGAUACCUGGCUUUGUCCAGGGUGGUUCCAGGGGUAUUUGGCUGUAUCCAGUUGUGUCCAGGCUGUGUCCAGCUGUGUCCAGAGUGGUUCCAGGGGGUAUCUGGCCGUGUCCGGCUGUGUCCGGGGUGGUUCCAGGGGGUAUAUGGCUGUGUCCAGUUGUGUCCAGGCCAUGUCCGGGGGUAUCUGACCGUGUCCAGCUGCGUCUAGGGUGGUUCCAGAGGUAUCUGGCCAUGUCCAGUUGUGUCCAGGGCGGUUCCAGAGGUAUCUGGCCAUGUCCAGUUGUGUCCAGGGUGGUUCCCGGGGGUAUCUGGCCAUGUCCGGCUGUGUCCGGGAUGGUUCCAGAGAGUAUCUGGCUGUGUCCAGUUGUGUCCAGGGUGGUUCCAGGA